UAUACCAUGAUUUAGAAGCAUUGUAUUUGCAUUGCCUCUAGGCUUUCUUAUUCAGCCUAAUUUUUAAGGAAAAUAUUCUUUUUUUUUUCAAGUGCUGAUGAUUAUUUAUUAAUUAUUGAUGUUGAAAUUUUUAAACGCGGCACUACAAUUUCUGUCCAGAUUUUUUUUCUUCAAAAAACAGCAUUAUCACUGAAAACUUUUGGAAUCAAGUUUUUUAUCACAAUUUUUUUCAAAGAUUAGAAAGUUGUAAUAUAUGCUUGAAUGAUGUGGGUAUAAUGCAACAUGUCCUCACGCUGCUUACUGUGCAAAAAGUAUCUUGAAUGUAGAACUCUUGAGUUUGUGUAACAGAUUAAAGAAGGGAACAUUUGGUUGAACGACACUAUUGGUAUC
This 390-nucleotide long non-coding RNA is filed under the name Linum usitatissimum (flax). RNAcentral's name for it is "long non-coding RNA (LUSI_LNC001396)". Lineage: Eukaryota; Viridiplantae; Streptophyta; Magnoliopsida; Malpighiales; Linaceae. The record is from RNAcentral.